Molecule: non-coding RNA, 58 nt
Organism: Salmo salar (Atlantic salmon)
Lineage: Eukaryota; Metazoa; Chordata; Actinopteri; Salmoniformes; Salmonidae
Source: Rfam
UGGCUCAGUUGGUAAAGCAUGGUGUUUGCAACACCAGGGAUGUGGGUUUGAUUCCCAU